CUGCGAAUGGCUCAUUAUAUAAGUUAUCGUCUAUUUGAUAGUACCUUACUACUUGGAUAACCGUGGUAAUUCUAGAGCUAAUACAUGCUAAAAAUCCCGACUUCGGAAGGGAUGUAUUUAUUAGAUUAAAAACCAAUGCCCCCCGGGGCUCUCUGGUGAUUCAUGAUAACUUCUCGAAUCGCACGGCCUUGCGCCGGCGAUGGUUCAUUCAAAUUUCUUCCCUAUCAACUUUCGAUGUUUGGGUAGUGGCCAAACAUGGUUGCAACGGGUAACGGAGGGUUAGGGCUCGACCCCGGAGAAGGAGCCUGAGAAACGGCUACUACAUCCAAGGAAGGCAGCAGGCGCGCAAAUUACCCAAUCCCGAUUCGGGGAGGUAGUGACAAUAAAUACUGAUACAGGGCUCUUUCGGGUCUUGUAAUUGGAAUGAGUACAAUUUAAAUCCCUUAACGAGGAACAAUUGGAGGGCAAGUCUGGUGCCAGCAGCCGCGGUAAUUCCAGCUCCAAUAGCGUAUAUUAAAGUUGUUGUGGUUAAAAAGCUCGUAGUUGAACCUUGGGCCUGGCUGGCCGGUCCGCCUCACCGCGUGUUACUGGUCCGGCCGGGUCUUUCCCUCUGUGGAACCACAUGCCCUUCACUGGGCGUGGCGGGGAAACAGGACUUUUACUUUGAAAAAAUUAGAGUGCUUCAGGCAGGCCUAUGCUCGAAUACAUUAGCAUGGAAUAAUGAAAUAGGACGUGCGGUUCUAUUUUGUUGGUUUCUAGGACCGCCGUAAUGAUUAAUAGGGACAGUCGGGGGCAUCAGUAUUCAAUUGUCAGAGGUGAAAUUCUUGGAUUUAUUGAAGACUAACUACUGCGAAAGCAUUUGCCAAGGAUGUUUUCAUUAAUCAGGAACGAAAGUUAGGGGAUCGAAGACGAUCAGAUACCGUCGUAGUCUUAACCAUAAACUAUGCCGACUAGGGAUCGGACGAUGUUAUUUAGUUGACUCGUUCGGCACCUUGCGAGAAAUCAAAGUG
Molecule: ribosomal RNA, 1010 nt
Filed under: Metarhizium culicidarum
Lineage: Eukaryota; Fungi; Ascomycota; Sordariomycetes; Hypocreales; Clavicipitaceae
Description: SSU rRNA
Rfam family: Eukaryotic small subunit ribosomal RNA
Source: RNAcentral